UACGGAGGGGGCUAGCGUUGCUCGGAAUCACUGGGCGUAAAGGGUGCGUAGGCGGGGCUUUAAGUCAGGGGGGAAAUCCUGGAGCUCAACUCCAGAACUGCCUUUGAUACUGAAGAUCUUGAGUUCGGGAGAGGUGAGUGGAACUGCGAGUGUAGAGGUGAAAUUCGUAGAUAUUCGCAAGAACACCAGUGGCGAAGGCGGCUCACUGGCCCGAUACUGACGCUGAGGCACGAAAGCGUGGGGAGCAAACAGG
Molecule: ribosomal RNA, 253 nt
Filed under: uncultured bacterium
Lineage: Bacteria
Description: partial 16S ribosomal RNA
Rfam family: Bacterial small subunit ribosomal RNA
Source: RNAcentral